RNAcentral lists this ribosomal RNA (720 nucleotides) under Erysiphe takamatsui. RNAcentral's name for it is "partial large subunit ribosomal RNA". It matches the Rfam family "Eukaryotic large subunit ribosomal RNA", at positions 82 to 816 of the family's 3401-position model. RNAcentral also lists the same sequence under 1 other name. The record is from RNAcentral. Lineage: Eukaryota; Fungi; Ascomycota; Leotiomycetes; Helotiales; Erysiphaceae.
AGUAACGGCGAGUGAAGCGGUAACAGCUCAAAUUUGAAAUCUGGCUCCUUCGGAGUCCGAGUUGUAAUUUGUAGAAGAUGCUUUGGGUUGUGGGCUCGGCCUAAGUUCCUUGGAACAGGACGUCAUAGAGGGUGAGAAUCCCGUAUGUGGCCAUGGCCCGCGCCUAUGUAAAGCUCUUUCGACGAGUCGAGUUGUUUGGGAAUGCAGCUCAAAAUGGGUGGUAAAUUUCAUCUAAAGCUAAAUAUGGGCCAGAGACCGAUAGCGCACAAGUAGAGUGAUCGAAAGAUGAAAAGCACUUUGGAAAGAGAGUUAAACAGUACGUGAAAUUGUUGAAAGGGAAGCGCUUGCAACCAGACUUGGGCGCUGCCGAUCACCCCGAGUUCUCUCGGGUGCACUCGACAGCGCACAGGCCAGCAUCGGUUCGGGUGGCUGGAUAAAGGCCGUAGGAAUGUAGCUCUCUUCGGGGAGUGUUAUAGCCCACGGUGCCAUGCAGCCCAGCCGGACCGAGGACCGCGCCUUCGGGCUAGGAUGCUGGCGUAAUGGUUGUAAGCGACCCGUCUUGAAACACGGACCAAGGAGUCUAACAUCUAUGCGAGUGUUUGGGCGUUAAACCCAUACGCGGAAUGAAAGUGAACGUAGGUGAGAACCCCUUUGGGGCGCAUCAUCGACCGAUCCUGAUGUCUUCGGAUGGAUUUGAGUAAGAGCAUAGCUGUUGGGACC